RNAcentral lists this ribosomal RNA (951 nucleotides) under Klebsiella pneumoniae. Its description in RNAcentral is "bacterial SSU rRNA". It matches the Rfam family "Bacterial small subunit ribosomal RNA", at positions 581 to 1532 of the family's 1533-position model. Lineage: Bacteria; Pseudomonadati; Pseudomonadota; Gammaproteobacteria; Enterobacterales; Enterobacteriaceae. The record is from RNAcentral.
UGUCAAGUCGGAUGUGAAAUCCCCGGGCUCAACCUGGGAACUGCAUUCGAAACUGGCAGGCUAGAGUCUUGUAGAGGGGGGUAGAAUUCCAGGUGUAGCGGUGAAAUGCGUAGAGAUCUGGAGGAAUACCGGUGGCGAAGGCGGCCCCCUGGACAAAGACUGACGCUCAGGUGCGAAAGCGUGGGGAGCAAACAGGAUUAGAUACCCUGGUAGUCCACGCCGUAAACGAUGUCGAUUUGGAGGUUGUGCCCUUGAGGCGUGGCUUCCGGAGCUAACGCGUUAAAUCGACCGCCUGGGGAGUACGGCCGCAAGGUUAAAACUCAAAUGAAUUGACGGGGGCCCGCACAAGCGGUGGAGCAUGUGGUUUAAUUCGAUGCAACGCGAAGAACCUUACCUGGUCUUGACAUCCACAGAACUUUCCAGAGAUGGAUUGGUGCCUUCGGGAACUGUGAGACAGGUGCUGCAUGGCUGUCGUCAGCUCGUGUUGUGAAAUGUUGGGUUAAGUCCCGCAACGAGCGCAACCCUUAUCCUUUGUUGCCAGCGGUCCGGCCGGGAACUCAAAGGAGACUGCCAGUGAUAAACUGGAGGAAGGUGGGGAUGACGUCAAGUCAUCAUGGCCCUUACGACCAGGGCUACACACGUGCUACAAUGGCAUAUACAAAGAGAAGCGACCUCGCGAGAGCAAGCGGACCUCAUAAAGUAUGUCGUAGUCCGGAUUGGAGUCUGCAACUCGACUCCAUGAAGUCGGAAUCGCUAGUAAUCGUAGAUCAGAAUGCUACGGUGAAUACGUUCCCGGGCCUUGUACACACCGCCCGUCACACCAUGGGAGUGGGUUGCAAAAGAAGUAGGUAGCUUAACCUUCGGGAGGGCGCUUACCACUUUGUGAUUCAUGACUGGGGUGAAGUCGUAACAAGGUAACCGUAGGGGAACCUGCGGUUGGAUCACCUCCUU